UAGGGAAUCUUCCGCAAUGGGCGAAAGCUUGACGGAGCAACGCCGCGUGAGUUAUGAAGGUCUUCGGAUCGUAAAACUCUGUUAUUAGGGAAGAACAAAUGUGUAAGUAACUAUGCACGUCUUGACGGUACCUAAUCAGAAAGCCACGGCUAACUACGUGCCAGCAGCCGCGGUAAUACGUAGGUGGCAAGCGUUAUCCGGAAUUAUUGGGCGUAAAGCGCGCGUAGGCGGUUUUUUAAGUCUGAUGUGAAAGCCCACGGCUCAACCGUGGAGGGUCAUUGGAAACUGGAAAACUUGAGUGCAGAAGAGGAAAGUGGAAUUCCAUGUGUAGCGGUGAAAUGCGCAGAGAUAUGGAGGAACACCAGUGGCGAAGGCGACUUUCUGGUCUGUAACUGACGCUGAUGUGCGAAAGCGUAGGGAUCAAACAGG
Molecule: ribosomal RNA, 429 nt
Filed under: Bacteroidota bacterium
Lineage: Bacteria; Pseudomonadati; Bacteroidota
Description: Bacteroidetes bacterium partial 16S ribosomal RNA
Rfam family: Bacterial small subunit ribosomal RNA
Source: RNAcentral